UCCCUGGUGGCUCAGACGGUAAAGCGUCUGCCUACAAUGCAGGAGACCCGGGUUUGAUCCCUGGGUGGGGAA
Molecule: transfer RNA, 72 nt
Filed under: Bos taurus (domestic cattle)
Lineage: Eukaryota; Metazoa; Chordata; Mammalia; Artiodactyla; Bovidae
Also listed under: 4 other names
Rfam family: tRNA
About the family: Transfer RNA (tRNA) molecules are approximately 80 nucleotides in length. Their secondary structure includes four short double-helical elements and three loops (D, anti-codon, and T loops). Further hydrogen bonds mediate the characteristic L-shaped molecular structure. tRNAs have two regions of fundamental functional importance: the anti-codon, which is responsible for specific mRNA codon recognition, and the 3' end, to which the tRNAs corresponding amino acid is attached (by aminoacyl-tRNA synthetases). tRNAs cope with the degeneracy of the genetic code in two manners: having more than one tRNA (with a specific anti-codon) for a particular amino acid; and 'wobble' base-pairing, i.e. permitting non-standard base-pairing at the 3rd anti-codon position.
Source: Rfam by way of RNAcentral